This 28-nucleotide ribosomal RNA is filed under the name Emblica officinalis (emblic). RNAcentral's name for it is "Phyllanthus emblica partial 28S ribosomal RNA". The record is from RNAcentral. Lineage: Eukaryota; Viridiplantae; Streptophyta; Magnoliopsida; Malpighiales; Phyllanthaceae.
GCGACCCCAGGUCAGGCGCUACCCCUUG